GAGCCGAAGUCGGAUGCUCAACGAACUGAGCCACCCAGGCACCCUUAUUCACUCUUUGAUGAUAGUUUUUGUGGACUCAACCUUCAUGAUCCCGAUAGAUUCAGAUCAAAUAAUAGGAACUCAUUUAGAGAUGUCUUACAGAAGAUUAAUGAGAACAACAUUCAAGCACAAAGAUAUUGUUACUACAUUAUGGUCAACAAUGGAAAAAACACCAUUUUCCUACAAAGUGAUACAGAUGCCUGUUAGCAAACCCUACGCACACUGGAGUAAACUAAGCGAGUUGAUUGGUACCCAAACUUGCCAACUGCUGAAGCAGCUCAACCUCAAAAUAUUAAGCCAUACCACAGACGUGUGAAUACAUGAAUUGGUUCCACUUUGAAAAUUUCAUUUGCUACUGUGCAAUACUAAUGCAUCUUGUAAGAGGUUUAAGGAUUUCUUCAGAAUCACUUCCUUUUCACCAGUGUUACCACACUACUAUAUUUAACAGAGACAUUUACAUGCUUUGCAUUUUAAGUGCCUCGGAAAUCCGAGCACAGAGCCCGCACAUUUCCACCGCACCAUCAGAUGUAAUGAGUUAUGGUGCUAUCGGCAUGUUGAUAAGCUAUAGCCCAAAGAAGAACAAGAAGGAAGUAUAAAAAAUAUGGCCAGAGGAUGGGAUAAAAUUAUCAGCUAGUGUGUUUUCCUGUUUGGUUUUAAUCUACAUUUAAUUAAAUUCUUAUCUUCUGUGUACUUAUGGUCGCAUUUGAAUGGCGAGACUGCAUUCAUUAUGAAUGGUAAAACUUAACUCAGAGAACAUUACAUGUGGCUUCUUUAAAAAAGAGAAGAAGAAAAACGCUGUCUUUAUUCUUUACACUCAGGUCUUAUAAAAGGGGACCAAACUCUCUCUUAGGUCAAGUGCAGUAGCACUUAACCUUUGGGUUAACUGAUUUGGAAAGUGGGACUUAAAUCAAUUUUAAUGCUAUUUUUUUUUUAUUUUUACAAUUUGGGAAUGUUAUUAUCAAAUUCCGAGCCUGAACAGAGCUGGCAAGGGGAGCAGUGAAGUGCAUUAAGGAAAUGCCUUCUUCAUUCUUAAAAACAGAGAUGAUAACAGGAAGUUUUUAUUAGUACUGCAAAAUGUGAUCAUUAGUCUGCAUCCUUAAUUAUUAAAACCAUUACAUUCCCUUGUCUUUAUAUGCUGAAAUAAGAAAAAAAUGCCUUAAUUGCUAUUUAAAUUUUUUUCCUGUGUCACAGACCCUUUGAGUUCAUUCAAGCAUCCAUAUAUUUCAAAGAAAAAUAACAUGUUUUCAACAUAGCAUUAUUUCACACACCUACUAGCUUCAAAACAUUUUUAGUUCUAUUCCAGGAAUGGCAGGGCAAAUUGACAAUGUCCUGAAGGCAAUAUUUGGUCCCUGCAAUAACAAGCAUGGUUUCCUUGGGUCAACCUAAAGAUUGUGUCAGACUUAACAAAGGGAAAUAGGGGCAACUGUGUCUGAUUUAGAUGUGAUUGUUGCUGAAGAACUGAGGCUCAAGAUCGUACUUGCUAUCCCCACUGGAUCAAAAUUCACCGAAACCAAGAACCAAGAACAACGAGAAGAAAAUGCUCCACAGUUAUAGAAUGGCUAAAUCACGGGGAUAAAAGGCGCGGCAGAGGGAAAAGUGUCAAUGGUAUUGUAAUAACACUGGAUGGUGACAGAUGGUAGCUACACUCCUGGUGAGCACAGUGUAAUGUACAGAGUUGUGGAAUCACUGUGUUUUACACUUGAAACUAAUGUAACAUCGUGUAUCAACUAUGAAAAGCUCUACAGUUAUAUAACUCCUAUAACACACACACACACACACACACACACACACACACACACAGACACACAUACACACAUAUAUACGUAUUCUCUUAGUAUUCCUAUUCUCUUACAUAUAUGCUAGGAGAAUACAGAUGAUUCUGUCACAUGUUUUCACAAGUUUUCUUAAAAUCAGUAAUGUAUGACUAGUACCUGUAUACCAAUAAAACAAGAACAUUUCAAAUGAGCACUUGUGAUUACUUUGGUAUUUUAUGCAAUGUGAAAUACUAACUAGAAAAGGCUUAACAUUCCAACUGAAAGCUCAGAUUACCAUUAUCAUUAAAUAAUGGUAAUUACUAAUGACAUAUUUUCCCCAAAUAUUCCAGCAUAAAUAUACUGGGAAUGAUAUUUUACUACUUAGCAUUAUCUUGAAAGGGGCUAUAAAAUUCCCAACAGUUGGGUCAAAAAGUUUUUAUAUGAUACACUAUAUACUCCAUAACUUUGCUGUGUAAUGAGACGCAAAGAUCUUCUUCUAAAAAGCCAGUCACCAUUCAUUUACCCAAAGCUCCAAAGGAGAUGAAGGAUGUUUUCAGUAUAUAUUCCUUACACUUCAAAGGUUUCUUACUAAAAAUAAGCAUUUUUAUUUGGUUGGACAUUUAUACAAUUCAGUAGAUGGGACUGUCACUCUCCUGUACAUAACUGGACAUUAAAAUCACAACUGGGAUGAAUUUUAAAAACUGGUGUUAAUUCUGCAACAUUAAGUUUAUUUUCAAAAAUUAUUCUUAAUUGUUAGAAAGUAAACAAGCCAAUAUAUUCCUAAUAGAUGACAAACCCUGGAUACUAAUACAUAUCCUACCCUGAGAGCACAGUUGUCUGAAGCUAUAGAUUGAUAAUCAGGUUUUACUGUAAUAUAUGAUACAUAUAUAGGUUAAAGAUAACAUUGGUAACUUGUUUGGUUUAGUUCAUUAUUUUUUUUCCAAAAAUACCCUUAUGCAUAUUCUCUUAUUAAAUAUCAUUACAAUAUAUUCCCUGCCUUUAUUUCAGUAAACACAUGCAUUAGAUCGUGUCCAUGCACAUAUCCUAACAAGCUGUUUUAUGUGAUGUCUUUAUCUGAAGAAUCUGAAAUGUUUUGGGUAAUUCAAUUCAAUAAACAUUUAUUAAGCAACAGUAAAUUGACCUAAUUUACUAUCAGGCAGUCACUCUGUAAGGUACUGUGUAGACAUGAUAUAAUACAGUCUCUGUGAAGGGGUAGAAUACAGAAAGCCAAUUCUGUAAUAUAGUUUGUUAAGGGUUAUAUAGUGUAAGGAUACAUAAAAAAAACUAAGGGAGCAGAGACAGAGAACAUAUGAUGUUCAAAUUGAUUAUGAAAAGACGAGCUAGAGCUUGCUGUGUGGGUAGUUUUGUGGAUGCUUAAGACGUAACAUAUGUACGACCCUAUUGUUUCCUCAAGAUCAUUGAGAUAAUUGGGAUUGACCGUACCAAAAAUUGCCACAGAAGAGGAGAAAACAAUUCCUGCAUGAAACUGUAAGAUAUGGCCCAGGCUGCCUCCACGUAAUUUCUCUGUCCUUAGUCUAGCCACACUGACCUUCUUUAAAUUUUUCAAAUGGACCAUUCCCUCACUGCCACUGGCCAUUUGCGCAUGUUGUUCUCCCUGGCUAGAAAUCUUCAGCCUAUUCCUAUUUGAUUAAGUUCAUCCUUCAAAUUCAGCCCAUGCAACUAUCAUUUCUUCAAGAAAGAUUUCCCUGACCUUCCCUAAUGUGUGCGCACGCACACACACACGCGCACACACAGAAAACUCACAUGGAGUCUCGGUGUGUUUGCCUGGUUACAUGCCAUCAGAGAACUGUGUUCUUUUCUAUAAUGGACUCAGUUUGUGAGGCUACAUUUGUUAGUAUCUGCCUUUCUGACUAGGCAGUGACUUCCAUGAGAAGAAGAUGAACUUGAUCUAUUUUGGAUCUACAUUACCUCAAUGUCUAGUUGAAGUGCCACACCAAUGUGUUGAAUGCAUCUAUGACUACAGGAGACAAGGAAGAGGAUGAUAAAAGUGUGUUUGUGAAAUAUUUUAUUUCUGAUGGAACAGACCUAUAUGAAGCAAAUGGAUUUAAACACUGUGUAAUAGUUGCCAUUUCUGAACCCAGCUUUGGCUGUCUGUGAAGCAUGUAAUGAAAUUAAGAAGAGCAUAAAGAAAGGAUUUGGGUGGAUUUCCUUGUCUUCAGGAUCAAUUAUUUUGACCUAGAUCCAUUAGCCAGACUGCCCCAAUAUUAAGGAGCAAUUUUUAGUAAUUUUAAGCCAAAUACAGUAAUUUCUGGGGUUAGGUGAGGAUAUAGGGAAAAGAAAAGGGGGCUGUAAGGAAGCACUCUUGCAGAGAAAAACAUAAAAAUUCAACCCUCUCCAAAACAGACCUAAAAGUAUGACAUCCAUUAUUCGUAUUGGCAGUGAUUUCCUUACAAUUGUUGACUUUUUUUGCACCAACCUCUAACCUACCAUUUCUGAAACAUUCCUAAGAAGACUUGAAAAAGCUGUUAAAAGCAUAUCUGCCCAGAAGCCCUAGAAAAACUAUAGCUGCAAAGUGUCUUUACUGUUUAUAUAAGAGCAAUCAAAGGUAUCAGCAAGCAAGACAGAUGAAACUGUUCUCUGAGGAAAAGAAAGUAAAAUUUAUCCAAACUAAAUAUUUCUGUGAAACAGGUUAUACGGAAUUCUCAUUCUGCAGCCAAAUACACAUCCCCCGUAUGCUUGUGUAUUCCUCCUUAUAAACAUGAAUAUUCAUUAAUACCAUCCCAGUAGAUGGGAACAACCUAAGUAAAUUACUGAGCAUGAGGAACAGCAGAGAAAACUUUAAUGCAAUUCAAGUAUUCACACAGACAUGAACAAUUUGCAUCAAAUAAAUGGGCAAGAUGAUUACAACUACAUUUCAUUUACCUGUCAUAAUCUAUGACUCAGUUGUUUGAUCUGUAUUAGUUACUACGUUCAAGGCAAAGUUGUUAUUUGACCACCCUUUACUGGAACUCUUGUUAAAAUCUCAAGUAUUUCCUUUUGGGUUUUUUUCCCUUUAAACUGAGGUCAGAGAACAGAGAAUCAUUUGAAGCACUGUUUUACAGAACCGUCCUCAAGGGUUAUUCAGGUAGUUCCUCUAUUCCUUAAGGACUCGGCACUUUUAUUUUUUAUUUCUUUAGUGGGAUUUUUGUGGUUGUUGUUCACUUCCCCGCAUUGCUGGAACUGCUGCUGCCAACAGACACUUCGUUUUCUAAGCCAGUGUGAGCUGGGAAACCAACUAAUCAGCCUGUGUGGAUUGUGCUUAAAUUAAGAGUAUAGACGUUCUGGGUAAAGAUAUUCAAGUUUUGGUUCAAACCAAAAUCUAUAUUUGCAUCUAUUGAAAUGUAUACCGACAUUUAAAUGUGGGUGCUUUUUGUUUGUUUUCUCAUCUUUCUUGGCUGUGUUCUGGAACACAGCAACAUUAUAUAGAAAAUAUAUGAACACAUGAAAUAUUACUCAUAUUUGCUUAUAAGAGAGCACCUUCUACAACAAAAGAUUCACAUUGAAAAGCUACAUGAAGGGCUUUCCAAUCAGAAGAGAGCAAGGUGUAAGUGUCUUUCGUGGUCCUACAUCUGGGCUUAGGCCACCCAAACUGCCUUGCCACGCCAUCCAAGUUUGACCUUAACAAAAGCAAAGUCCUAUACUGAGGUUCACUGGUGGGAAAGUUGGUGCCAAACGUUGUCUGGUCCCCAAAACUGGUCCCCUGGUUCGGUCUAAAAAACGUUGGUGAUGACAUUGUCAAGGUACCUGAUGACUAGGAGGGUCAGGAUUAUAUGAAACUGACCAUUCAGAACAGACAAGCCCAGACUGAGCUGGUACCUUCUGUCUUUGCCCUGAUCAUCAAAACUCUCCAGGAACUCUCAGGGAACUACACAGAGAUGGCAAGAAGCACAAGAACAUUAAGACAGUGGAAAUAACACUUUUGAUGAGACUGGCACCUGACAGAUGCAACACCAAUCUUUGACCAGAGAAUUCUCUAGAACCAUGAAAAUGAUUGCCAAGGACUGCCAAGUUUGUGGGCUGAAAUGUUAAUGGUUACUACCCACGUUAUCAUCGAUGACAUCAACAGUAAUAUGGUAGAAUGCCCAGCUACUUAAGAACUACAAAGGGAAAUAUCUUGGUAAAGGAUCAUUUGACAACCCCCGCCCCACAGUUAUAUGCAGGUCACAUCGUCUCUUAGCGAAAUAUAAAGUUAAUUUGGUAGAGAAUUUUCACAGAUUUAUGCUCAAAACUGUCAUGCAUACAAACCCCCUUGUCUACCAAGUAUGAAGUUGUGAAUCUAAAGAAGACUACAUGGGACGCCUGGGUGGCUCAGUCAGUUGAGUGUCUGACUUUGGCUCAGGUCACGAUCUCUCGGUUCGAGAGAUGGAGCCCCGUGUCGGGCUCUGUGCUGACA
Felis catus (domestic cat) is the source of this 6186-nucleotide long non-coding RNA. RefSeq lists it as uncharacterized. The transcript is spliced from 3 exons. The record is from RefSeq and is a predicted model, not a curated record. Lineage: Eukaryota; Metazoa; Chordata; Mammalia; Carnivora; Felidae.